GGUAAGGUGGCCGAGUGGUUAAGGCGUUGGAUUUAAGAGUGAUAUUUAUCACAUCACCUUGAAGUUCCCCAAUGACGAGAGUCUCCAGGGUUCGAACCCCUGUCUUACCA
Molecule: non-coding RNA, 110 nt
Organism: Aspergillus aculeatinus CBS 121060
Lineage: Eukaryota; Fungi; Ascomycota; Eurotiomycetes; Eurotiales; Aspergillaceae
Source: the annotation of a RefSeq genome assembly